CAUAAUCCAUCCCGGCAACUGUUUCUGAAUUCCGUUACGGUGUUUCUAAAGUGCUUUUCUUAAGGAAAUUAAGAAUCCACUCCAGAGGUCUCAUAAAGGUUUAAGGGAAAACUCCAGUUUAACAAAAGGUACAAGUAUUGUGCUUUUGUUCGCAAAAUUUUUUUAGGGAACUUGGAUAUAUGGCGUUCAUAGACUGAUAAUUAAAACUGACCUUGUCUCAUUCUACUGAAUUUCUAUAAAGAUUCAACAGCUGAUUUACAAUAAUUAUUUCAGAUUAUCUCUAGUUGAAGCUGCAGAUGAAGGUAGUGAUGUUUUUGUACAAAUAUCCCUUUAAACAUGAAAUACUGAAUUUUAUUUUAAACUGUAAUUUGAUUGUGCAUUCAAUUUGGAUGUUGUGAAAUAUAUGUUACCUUAAAAUUACACAGUAUAUUCAUAUAUAAUCAAUUUUCUCAGCCACAUCUUCAAGAUCUAAAGAUUUAGGUCUAAGAGGAUGUGUAGCUGUGUCAGAGCCAGAGGCUGCAGAGACAGAGUACAGAGCUACAAUGUUGGCACGCCUCAAAACAAUUGAGGAAAAUCAGCAGCUGAUGUUAACCUACUACAGUCUGUAGCUUCUGCUGGUAGGUUCAGGAGGGGAAGAUGUGGAUGAUGUUUUGCCAGCCCCCGUGUGCAGUUUAGAGGAGCUGGAUGACUUGUGCACUAAGUUAACUGAUGAAACAUUCAAAAAGAAAUUACACUGUAUUUGUCAUCGUUAGGAGGGCAUAGCCUUGGAGACACAGUUCUUAGGAUUAUUAAAAAGCUUGGAAGCAAUUGUGUGUGGUCCUCAUAUAGUCUAAAGGGAAGAAACGGAAAGUUACCAUUUAUUGAUCUUCCUAUCUUCAAAGUUGUCAUCAGAGUAUGCUUAAGAAACUACAGAAAGGCAAAAUUAUCCGAAGUGGAAGAUGAAAUUAGUGAAACCCUGAAGCAUGCCCCUAAAAGAAAAGGUGGCCUAAAGUACAAGGAUCCAGGGCCUAAAAGACCCAAUUAUUUAAUAGCACAAGAGUCAUCCGAUUCAGAAAAUUAGGCGCAGAUUAAAUCAAGACAGAGUGCAAGGUUCAGUGCCCCAGGAAGGUCAUAAAGUAUGAGGCCCUCCACCCACACACUCCUGCCAUCAUACUUCCCACUCUAUACCACAUAAUCAUCAUCUACCUCACUCCAAAGAACCUUCUUGUGCAAGAUAAAAUUCAUGAUCUUAUAAUUCAUAAUGUAAGUUUUUAUUUCCUAACUGCUACCAGGAGAGAUCAAGUAGAGUAUAUGUAUAGCCCAUGAAAUAUGAAUAUUUUUUUUCUACAAUACUAUAUUUAUGCCUAACUUUUUUUUUCCCUCAAAAAUAUUAUUGCCCAUGGAAUAUCCUAUUUUUGCUUUUAUAUGCUGUAUACUCUUCCAGGAAUAUUCUUUUGGUUCAAAUAUAUUUGUAUGUAUAUCAUCUGUACCCUUUCUUGAGUUUACAUUUUUUUCUUUACACUUAUCAGUGCCUCUGGAAUCUAAAUAUUUUGUUAUAUGCCAAUUUAUGGCCUACUUGGAAACUGCUGUUUUUUGCUAGUAUAUAUUUUAUGUUCUUCAUGGAAUUACUUUUUUUUUUCAUCUAUGUUCGUAUAUUGUACUAUUUAUGCCAUUGAAUUUAAUUUUUUUUAACCAAUAUCUUUGAAAAUGGAAUGUACUAUUUUCCUCAUUCUAUUUUAUACCAAUUUAUGGCUUAUUUGGAAUGUGCCAUUUUUGCUAAUAUAUAUUUUAUACUCUAUAUUUGUAUGCUGUGUACUAUUUAUGGCCUUGAAUUAUUGUUUUUCUUAAAACACAUCAUUGACUAUGGCAUGUACUAUAUUGUAUUUCUAAUAUAUGGCCUACUUGGAAUUUUUUAUUUUUUAAUGUAUAUUUUGUACUCUUCUUGGAAUUUUUUUUCCAUCAAUGUCUGUAUACUAUUUAUGCCCCUGAAUUUAAAUUUUUCUUGAUACGUAUUAUUUUCCAUGGAAUAUACUAUUCUUGUUACUGUAUUUUGCACUCUAUUUUUCUGUUAAUAUAUAUUCAUAUGUAUUUAUACCUAGUCUUGGAAUGUAUCAUAUUUUUCUUUUAAUAUAUAUUCGUAAAUAUUCAUACCCAGCCAUGGAAUGUACCAUAUUUUUCUUUUAAUAUAUAUUCGUAAAUAUUCAUACCCAGCCAUGGAAUGUACUAUAUUUUUCUUUUGAUAUAUAUACCCACCCUUAAUUGUAAUGUACUAAUUUUUCUUUUAAUAUAUAUUUGUAUAUAU
Macrobrachium nipponense is the source of this 2281-nucleotide long non-coding RNA. RefSeq lists it as uncharacterized. The transcript is spliced from 6 exons. The record is from RefSeq and is a predicted model, not a curated record. Lineage: Eukaryota; Metazoa; Arthropoda; Malacostraca; Decapoda; Palaemonidae.